This 887-nucleotide ribosomal RNA is filed under the name uncultured Synechococcus sp. RNAcentral describes it as "bacterial SSU rRNA". It matches the Rfam family "Bacterial small subunit ribosomal RNA", at positions 646 to 1533 of the family's 1533-position model. The record is from RNAcentral. Lineage: Bacteria; Bacillati; Cyanobacteriota; Cyanophyceae; Synechococcales; Synechococcaceae.
GUGUGGUAGGGGCAGAGGGAAUUCCCGGUGUAGCGGUGAAAUGCGUAGAUAUCGGGAAGAACACCAGUGGCGAAGGCGCUCUGCUAGGCCAUAACUGACGCUCAUGGACGAAAGCCAGGGAGCGAAAGGGAUUAGAUACCCCUGUAGUCCUGGCCGUAAACGAUGAACACUAGGUGUCGGGGGAAUCGACCCCCUCGGUGUCGUAGCCAACGCGUUAAGCGUUCCGCCUGGGGAGUACGCACGCAAGUGUGAAAAUCAAAGGAAUUGACGGGGGCCCGCACAAGCGGUGGAGUAUGUGGUUUAAUUCGAUGCAACGCGAAGAACCUUACCAGGGUUUGACAUCCUGCGAAUCUCUUGGAAACGAGAGAGUGCCUUCGGGAACGCAGUGACAGGUGGUGCAUGGCUGUCGUCAGCUCGUGUCGUGAGAUGUUGGGUUAAGUCCCGCAACGAGCGCAACCCACGUCGUUAGUUGCCAGCAUUCAGUUGGGCACUCUAGCGAGACCGCCGGUGAUAAACCGGAGGAAGGUGUGGAUGACGUCAAGACAUCAUGCCCCUUACAUCCUGGGCUACACACGUACUACAAUGCUACGGACAAAGGGCAGCAAGCUCGCGAGAGUUAGCAAAUCCCAUAAAACGUGGCUCAGUUCAGAUCGUAGGCUGCAACUCGCCUACGUGAAGGAGGAAUCGCUAGUAAUCGCAGGUCAGCAUACAGCGGUGAAUACGUUCCCGGGCCUUGUACACACCGCCCGUCACACCAUGGAAGUUGGCCACGCCCGAAGCCGUUACUCCAACCCUUGUGGAGGAGGACGUCGAAGGUGGGGCUGAUGACUGGGGUGAAGUUGUAACAAGGUAGCCGUACCGGAAGGUGCGGCUGGAUCACCUCCUAA